RNAcentral lists this transfer RNA (74 nucleotides) under Podarcis lilfordi (Lilford's wall lizard). RNAcentral's name for it is "tRNA.Sup". The stretch from base 9 to 66 matches the Rfam family "tRNA", at positions 8 to 63 of the family's 71-position model. From Rfam's summary of the family: Transfer RNA (tRNA) molecules are approximately 80 nucleotides in length. Their secondary structure includes four short double-helical elements and three loops (D, anti-codon, and T loops). The record is from RNAcentral. Lineage: Eukaryota; Metazoa; Chordata; Lepidosauria; Squamata; Lacertidae.
ACCUGGGAUAGCUCAGUCGGUAGAGCAAGAGAGUCUAAAUCUCGGGGUUGUGGGUUUGAGCCCCAUGUUGGGAG